UGUUUUUGUUGUGAAACUUCGAAAUAUUUUCAUAUUUGAAUUUUGAAAGUGAUUUUUGUUCUUUUUUCUGUAUAAUUCUUCAACAAUUUCAGCACCUCAGUCCUAUUCUGGUGUCUUUGAAGGCUAGAAAACUAAUUGUCCACGCUUCACAGCUUAAUAACAGUCCAAAAAUGUUGUUUUCAAGGAAGGAACUCACGCGUUGGUUAGGAGUGUCUAUUUUCGAAAUAUGGCUCUCUGUACUUUGUUUCCUUGUUUUUUCCAUAUUUCUCGCGUUAAAGCUAGAAGGGGACGUAACGUGGUCAUGGUGGAGUGUAUUUAUUCCUUUAUUCGCAUUUGAUGGCUGUACGGGCUAUUUUGUGGCAAUAGUGUGUAUACGUUUAAUAUUGGAAAAUGAGAAGCGCAAGGCAGCCCUGAGGACAUUAUGGAAUGGAUCAAAUUUGGGUCUGUUGUUUGUGUACAAAGUGCUGCUGUGUCAAAGACUAGAGUUGCAGAAUAUGAUGACUUAUUCUGUGAUACAUACUCCUGUGUUUAUUUUUUUGCUUAUGUUAACAAUCCGUGGUUGUCAUGUUGGCACGUGAUGAUGCAAUAUUCGAGCUUGCUAGAGGAACUUCAACUAGUUGCAAAACUUGGGAAGUGAUGAAAAGCCUCACAAGAUUGCUAAAAGUUGAUAAACUUGCUUGUUGGACAUUUCCCCCCACCUCCACACAAGUUUCUCCCCCCCCCCCAAGGCUUCUUCCUGCCCCCCCCCCCCCCCCAAGGCUUCUUCCUGCCCUACCACAGAAGAAUGACCAAAUUCAGUUGAUGAUCAUGGACAUUUCACCAGCUACUGUUUGUUCAAGCAGACUUUGAACAACAAGUUUUAAACUAUGAUUCUGAAGCUUUAGUAGUGAUGUGUAAUAUAAGAAUUUAAUUAAUAAAAAAACAUUGAUACAUUAAUAAAAACCCUGUUAUUGCUAUUCAAGUGUUGCAUAUAUAUAUAUAUCACCUUGUCUCCACCCAUGAUGCACUGUAGAUGAUCACACACGGCACACAGGCUUGGGCACACCUCUAAAAUAACACACCUAUCAAGGGUCUAUCAACCACUAGUUUACUUAACCCUUCAAGUGGCAAUGCACCCUGAUUAUUUUUUACUUGUCAAGGGGAGAGUGCUGCCAUUUAAUGGGUUAAGGGUGGGUGGUACCUUGGGGAAAUAAUCACAUGUAACCUUGGUAUGGAGCAGUGGUUUGCCUAAAUGAUUCACAAAACUUUUGAGCUAGCUGUGG
Paramuricea clavata is the source of this 1262-nucleotide non-coding RNA. The record is from the annotation of a GenBank genome assembly. Lineage: Eukaryota; Metazoa; Cnidaria; Anthozoa; Malacalcyonacea; Plexauridae.